This 267-nucleotide long non-coding RNA is filed under the name Phaseolus vulgaris (common bean). RNAcentral's name for it is "long non-coding RNA (PVUL_LNC004863)". Lineage: Eukaryota; Viridiplantae; Streptophyta; Magnoliopsida; Fabales; Fabaceae. The record is from RNAcentral.
UCAUGUAUUAUUUGUAAUUUGUCCCUUAUGAUGGUUCAAUUAUUGUUGCCUUUUCAUGAGUUGACUGAAGACUUUUUUUCUAGAAUUUUUGGUGUGAUAUCUCCUCUUCUCCAACUAAUGAUGGUCCACUCCAAAAAUCUACUGAAACAGAUUCAGUGGCACAUCAUUGGGAUAAGAAAUAGCAGUAAUUCAUCCAAUAGGCCGUUGCAACCAAAAAUUGCUAUCAUUUCUGCAAUCACUGUGCUGGUUUCAAAGGGAGAGAGAAGG